GUCCCCAUAGCUCAAUUGGACAGAGUGCUGGCCUCCGAAGCCAGAGGUUGCAGGUUCGACUCCUGCUGGGGACG
This 74-nucleotide transfer RNA is filed under the name Phycisphaerae bacterium. RNAcentral's name for it is "tRNA-Arg". It matches the Rfam family "tRNA". Rfam says of the family: Transfer RNA (tRNA) molecules are approximately 80 nucleotides in length. Their secondary structure includes four short double-helical elements and three loops (D, anti-codon, and T loops). RNAcentral also lists the same sequence under 1 other name. Lineage: Bacteria; Pseudomonadati; Planctomycetota; Phycisphaerae. The record is from RNAcentral.